CAAAAACANGUCCUUUUGAUUUUAAUAAAAGGUCUGGCCUGCCCAGUGAAUAAUUCAACGGCCGCGGUAAAUUGACCGUGCNAAGGNAGCAUAAUCAUUAGUCUUUUAAUAGAGGGCUGGUAUGAAAGGUUUGACGAAGAAUUUUCUGUCUCAUUUUAUUUGUUNUAAAAUUUAAUUUCUUAGUCAAAAAGCUAAGAUUAUGUUGGAAGACGAGAAGACCCUAUAGAUCUUUAUAUAUAAUUAUAAUAUUAAAUUUAAUAUUAAUAUUUAAUUAUUUAUUUUGUUGGGGUGACAAAAAUAUACAAUUAACUUUUUUAUUAAUUUUACAUUGAUUUAUGAAUAAUUGAUCCAUCCUUGAUGAUUAAUAGAGUAAGUUACCUUAGGGAUAACAGCGUAAUCCUUCUCCAGAGUUCAUAUUUACAGAAGGGCUUGCGACCUCGANGUUGGAUUAAGAUAAUAAUUAGGUGCAGCCACUUNAUUUAUAGGUCUGUUCGACCUUNAAAAUCUUACAUGAUCUGAG
RNAcentral lists this ribosomal RNA (520 nucleotides) under Dythemis fugax. RNAcentral's name for it is "partial 16S ribosomal RNA". It matches the Rfam family "Bacterial large subunit ribosomal RNA", at positions 1808 to 2609 of the family's 2925-position model. The record is from RNAcentral. Lineage: Eukaryota; Metazoa; Arthropoda; Insecta; Odonata; Libellulidae.